UGAGAACAACUACAACAAGGAGGAUGGUUGGGAUUUUUUUUGGGUGCAAAAAAUUGGAAAUGUCUUUCAGCCUCCAGCAUCUCAAUGAGAGUAAGCAACUGGUAGUGGAAU
Molecule: long non-coding RNA, 111 nt
Organism: Coffea arabica (coffee)
Lineage: Eukaryota; Viridiplantae; Streptophyta; Magnoliopsida; Gentianales; Rubiaceae
Source: RefSeq, a predicted model, not a curated record